RNAcentral lists this long non-coding RNA (1045 nucleotides) under Homo sapiens (human). RNAcentral's name for it is "PREDICTED lncRNA (TCONS_00265604)". The record is from RNAcentral. Lineage: Eukaryota; Metazoa; Chordata; Mammalia; Primates; Hominidae.
AUAUCGGGGGUGCACUGGCACAGAGGAAAGGCCAUGUGAAGCAAGAAGGCAGCCAUCUGCAAGCCAAGGAGAGAAAUUUCAGAAGGAACCAACCCUACCGACAUCUUGAUCUUGGACUUUAAGCUGCCAGACCUUUUAUACAUUUUCUACAGAAAAUGCACCCCAUCAUUGCUUAUAGCCCACCCACGUGGACUGCUCAUUCUGUGAAUCAUGUUUUACAGAAAUUGCCUUGAUGUUAGGAAUUAAAAAAACAAAACAAAACAAAAAACAUGGAGCCGUAUUCUCCAGAAGCUUACAUCUGAUUUAACGAGACAGCAAUAGGAAGCCAAAGGGUCCCUGCAGAGGAGGGUUGCAGCACGAUAACUCUACAGCUGGACAGAGACAGAUUGCAGGGGAGCAAGAAUGAAUGGCAGGCCAGCUGCCAGAAGCUUCUCACUCCGUGGAGACCUUGGAGUCGAGGAUGAAAUGUCUUACAACUGUGGGGAGACCUUGGCUUUUCCAAAGCCUACCAGGGUCCAGGACUUGGAAGCUAAGGCCCAGAGAGGAGGAGAAACUUGAUCAAAGUCAAUCAGACAAUGCAGAAUCGAGAAAAGUACCUGGACCUCUAUGCCCAUGCUUCUAGCAGCCAGCCUCCUAAAAUACCUCUAGUUGAAGCCAAAGUUAGAAUCCUUCUACGAAACUACAGGAUUAAAAUGGAAUGGUUACAUGACCCAGGCUUGACCAAUCAGAUCAUCCAAACCCUUUGCCACAGUGAUUGGUCCAGGGAUACAUGCAUGAGCCAGCUCAGGCCUAAGCCACACUCAUCUUGUGGAUGACACUGGAGCUGUGACAGUCUGUUCUGUCCAGGCAGGGUGUCUUUUAUUUUUAUUGGAAAUAAGAUUAUCACAGAAUUGCUGGCUGUUGAUACUCUUUCUCAUCAACUCCCCAAAUGGAAAUGCUUUCAACCACUGCAGAAGUAAAAAAUUACCCAAAGGCUGUAUGAUGCAAACUCUUUCUUUGGCUUUAUCUUACUGAUAAGAAUAAAAAUAACACCUCACGUAUGUAU